GUGCUCACUUCACCAGCACACGUACUAAAAUUGAAAUGGUACAGAGAAGAUCAGCACGGCCUCUGUGCAGGGGUGACACGCAAUUCGUGAAGCGUUCCAUAUUUUU
This is a small nuclear RNA of Octodon degus (degu), 106 nucleotides long. The record is from Ensembl. Lineage: Eukaryota; Metazoa; Chordata; Mammalia; Rodentia; Octodontidae.